UCCAGGUCGUGAAAGCAGCUAGUCCAGUUUUACUGAGAAUAAUUCUUAUCGGAGCAGUUUUUCUCUAUUGCCUGGCGCUGGUCGGUUAUGGUGUCCCCACAGUGAUGAGAUGUACUCUAAUGCAAUGGUUCAAAGAAGUAGGAUUUUCAACGUUAUAUGGAGCGAUUUUACUCAAAACAUGGAGGAUAUCCGUUGUAUUCCGGGUACGUUCGGCAGCAAGAGUCCGGAUAACCGAUAUGGACCUGAUAAAGCGGUUGGGUCUUAUCAUCGCAGUGUCACUCUUUUAUCUAAUAGUCAGAACUGUGGUGUCUGCCCCCACGGUAGAGAUUGGCGAAUCGUUACAUGGCCUAAAGGCAUACCAAUGCUCAUAUGAUUGGUGGGAUUAUGCAGCAAAUAUUGGUAAAUAUUUUAUGUUGUUUACAAUUGAUCAUUCUUCGUUUUUUUGUUUUUGUUAUUCGUUAUUCAAAAUGGCAUAUAUUUUUUGUUUUAUGUUGAAACAUUCUACCUAUUGCGUCGAGAUAUCUUUUUAUGUAUGGAUGACUGUCAAAUCCCUAGAAGUAGUGUUUAUAUGAAAUUCGAAUGCCCCUUUAUGUGCCUGAACACGGUUUCGCUCUAUGGGUACGCACAUAGCAACAAGUGAGUUAAACUUACUCACGAGAUCCGGGUUGAUCUCGAUUAAUCGAUGCUUUGCCUCGGAUAGCAUGAAUAGUGACAACACUAGAGAGAGAAAGACCCAGUGUCAAAUCUCUGACUUUACGAUGCGAUAGUGCAAAAAUCGUGAUAAGAUCUUGGAAAAACAACAACUUGAGGCUCUUUCAAAUCUCACAUGUCGACUGCUGCGGGAUACAAAGCAAGUUCGAAAUGAGGUUUUCUUUCUUCUUUUGAAUGUCAAUAUAUGUGGAUUCGAAGAUGAAAAGGGAGCUCGACUGCCUCCCUAGAUCCUAUCCCUAAUACAGCCAUCUAUUAUUUAGAGUGGAAUGGUUAUUGGCAAAGUCUGUGGGCUGGUUAUUAGCGCUCAUUUUUUUCUGUGCAAUUGCCAUUUAUGAUUGCAAUCAUUUUCCCUCAAUCUGUUCCAACGUUUACUAGAAACAUUUUCAUAUGAGUCUGAGACGAUAUUCUCAAUAGGAUUAGCUGAAUACAAGCAUUUAUAUUUGCUUGUAUAAAUUGUUUGCAUCAACCCAAUUUUGUGUUCUUUUGAGUUGGUAUUUCGGCGUGUGUUCGACAAUUACUUUGUCACUCUUAAAAACAACCUAAAAAUGGCAUCCGUAUAAUUCAGUAGCAAUACAAUGAUAACUUCCCCUCUCUCUCUCUCUCUCUCUCUCUCUCUCUCUCUCCCUCACACACACAUUCAGUCUCUUUGUUGAUAUUUAUGUUCACAACUCUCUAUUUCUCUCUCACACAUACUCUCAUACACUCACUGGCUUUGUCUCCUAUCCUUUCAUUGUGUCCUUGUGUAUUGGUUAUAAUCCCUCAUUUGCUCUCCUCCACCGCCGCCCCAGACGCCUUCCAAUAAUCUCGAAAUCAUCCCAAUAUCAUAAUUUCGUUAACCCAUCUUCUUUAUUUUUACCUCGUGUACACUGUACCCCUCUCUAUCUCUUAUACACACACACACACAUCUAUCCAUGUCUUGUUUAUUUUUAAUCGUUAGUAGUAACUGCUGAUGAAGACUGCACGAUCUUCCUCUCAUUUUCACGGUUUGCUCUUCUGUCAUAAUAACACAUCACCAUUCAGCCGCCCCAUACCAUUCCACCAAUCACAUUUCGCCUUUCUCCGUUUUUAUUUUACACCUCAAUGGAAUACUUUUUAUCAUUCCAUUGUUUAAAUCAUUCAGAAUAUUCCUUACUGCAAAAUGUUUGUAUAUUCCGCGUUUCCCCAAUCAUUUCCGAUGGGGAUGCAGAAGAGAAUGUCUCCCGGCGGUUCCACGUUCAGGUUUCCUUUCCUUUCAUGGGCGUAUGAUUACCAUGGUUCUUUUGAUCGGACCCGAUGAGCAAUCUCCUCAAAAUGGGACGAGACUGGAGAUGAGGACAAAUUAAUCAGCGAUAACUCCUCCUGUUUUAUCUCAAAGGAUCUAGGAACCCUAACAGGGAAUGUUGACUGUUAUUCAAUCACAAGCCGAAUACUGUUCGAUCAGCAUCGGGUGACAAGCGCAGGGAAAGGGUUGAAGAGAGCGAACUUGAGGAAUUAAAGCAGCAAUCUAGCCUUCUAAUCUCUUUUGUCGCUGCCUGAAGAGUGACCUGACGUAUCUUCGUCUUCUCCAAAGCGAUGGAAACUUAAGCCAAAUGGUGCCGCUAACUAGGGUACACAUUGUCACACCCAUGACUGAUUCGAAUCAGUAGGCCUCCGUGAAACCACCGAACGGAAUGAUGGCGUAUCGCUUUUCGGCGCUAGCAGCAAGAAAGAUCACUUAACCGGUAAUCUGAUGCAAUUAAAAUUUCAGAUCUGACGGAAUAGUUUUUUCCUUGUUUUGAAGGUUUUGAAUCUUACCACAAAGAGUCUCAUUUACAUAGUUUGGCUGAAAUUUCUUCAUAUACAUAGUUUGUCUGAAAGUUCUUUAAACGUUUUUGUUGGGUUUUUUUUUUUUGUGGAACUCCUCUGCAUGGGCUUAUAAUUUAUUGCGGAUUAAAAUGUCGGGGAAAGUGAUGCGCUAAUUUCCGGUGGGUCGCGACUCGAUGGAUCUGGUGUGGUAUGGUCAUGAUGAUUAAUAAAGAGCCAAAACCACACGCGCGUUAUUAAUAAAGAAGUAAGCGCGGGAGACCAGGGAUGAGCUUUUGAAGGUAAGCUUGUUACCAAAAUCAUAUUAGGCAUAUUAUCUUGGUAGAUCCUGUGUCGGCAUUCGAGGAAGGAAAAGUCAAUAAUGGCAUGAACGUGGAAUAGAGAGAACGAGGGAAUAUGUGGGUUGAGAAGGGAAUAAAAUCAGAGAGAGGAGAUCAUACAGGUGCAUGAAGAGCGAAUGUGACAAAGCAAUUCAGCAUCAGACAAGCAGUUAGGUAAACUUCAUGUAGGUCGUGGAUAAGGUUACACAGAAGAGUAG
Molecule: long non-coding RNA, 3031 nt
Organism: Lytechinus pictus (painted urchin)
Lineage: Eukaryota; Metazoa; Echinodermata; Echinoidea; Temnopleuroida; Toxopneustidae
Exons: 3
Source: RefSeq, a predicted model, not a curated record